RNAcentral lists this ribosomal RNA (460 nucleotides) under uncultured bacterium. RNAcentral describes it as "partial 16S ribosomal RNA". It matches the Rfam family "Bacterial small subunit ribosomal RNA", at positions 338 to 795 of the family's 1533-position model. The record is from RNAcentral.
CCUACGGGGGGCUGCAGUGAGGAAUAUUGGUCAAUGGACGAGAGUCUGAACCAGCCAAGUAGCGUGAAGGAUGACUGCCCUAUGGGUUGUAAACUUCUUUUAUAUGGGAAUAAAAUGUUCCACGUGUGGGAUUUUGUAUGUACCAUAUGAAUAAGGAUCGGCUAACUCCGUGCCAGCAGCCGCGGUAAUACGGAGGAUCCGAGUGUUAUCCGGAUUUAUUGGGUUUAAAGGGAGCGUAGGUGGAUUGUUAAGUCAGUUGUGAAAGUUUGCGGCUCAACCGUAAAAUUGCAGUUGAAACUGGCAGUCUUGAGUACAGUAGAGGUGGGCGGAAUUCGUGGUGUAGCGGUGAAAUGCUUAGAUAUCACGAAGAACUCCGAUUGCGAAGGCAGUUCACUGGACUGCAACUGACACUGAGGCUCGAAAGUGUGGGUAUCAAACAGGAUUAGAUACCCUAGUAGUC